GAGUUUGAUCCUGGCUCAGAGCGAACGCUGGCGGCAGGCCUAACACAUGCAAGUCGAACGAUCCUUCGGGAUAGUGGCGGACGGGUGAGUAACACGUGGGAACGUGCCCUUUGGUUCGGAAUAACUCAGGGAAACUUGAGCUAAUACCGGAUGUGCCCUUCGGGGGAAAGAUUUAUCGCCAUUGGAGCGGCCCGCGUCUGAUUAGCUAGUUGGUAGGGUAAAGGCCUACCAAGGCUACGAUCAGUAGCUGGUCUGAGAGGAUGAUCAGCCACACUGGGACUGAGACACGGCCCAGACUCCUACGGGAGGCAGCAGUGGGGAAUCUUGCGCAAUGGGCGAAAGCCUGACGCAGCCAUGCCGCGUGAAUGAUGAAGGUCUUAGGAUUGUAAAAUUCUUUCACCGGGGACGAUAAUGACGGUACCCGGAGAAGAAGCCCCGGCUAACUUCGUGCCAGCCGCCGCGGUAAU
RNAcentral lists this ribosomal RNA (467 nucleotides) under uncultured Alphaproteobacteria bacterium. Its description in RNAcentral is "bacterial SSU rRNA". It matches the Rfam family "Bacterial small subunit ribosomal RNA", at positions 9 to 524 of the family's 1533-position model. The record is from RNAcentral. RNAcentral also lists the same sequence under 1 other name. Lineage: Bacteria; Pseudomonadati; Pseudomonadota; Alphaproteobacteria.